Molecule: ribosomal RNA, 455 nt
Filed under: uncultured bacterium
Lineage: Bacteria
Description: SSU rRNA
Rfam family: Bacterial small subunit ribosomal RNA
Source: RNAcentral
AGAGCGAACGCUGGCGGCAGGCUUAACACAUGCAAGUCGAGCGGGCGUAGCAAUACGUCAGCGGCAGACGGGUGAGUAACGCGUGGGAACGUACCUUUUGGCUCGGAACAACACAGGGAAACUUGUGCUAAUACCGGAUAAGCCCUUACGGGGAAAGAUUUAUCGCCAAAACGAUCGGCCCGCGUCUGAUUAGCUAGUUGGUGAGGUAACGGCUCACCAAGGCGACGAUCAGUAGCUGGUCUGAGAGGAUGAUCAGCCACAUUGGGACUGAGACACGGCCCAAACUCCUACGGGAGGCAGCAGUGGGGAAUAUUGGACAAUAGGGCGCAAGCCUGAUCCAGCCACUGCCGCGUGAGUGAUGAAGGCCCUAGGGUUGUAAAGCUCUUUUAGUGCGGGAAGAUAAAUGACGGUUACCGCAAGAAUAAGCCCCGGCUAACUUACGUGCCAGCAGCCGC